CGGGGGAUAUUGCACAAUGGGCGAAAGCCUGAUGCAGCGACGCCGCGUGGGGGAUGAAGGCCUUCGGGUUGUAAACUUCUUUUGCUCUGAACAAGGCGCACCAUGGGGUGUGUUGAGUGUAGGGGUUGAUUAGCGCCGGCUAACUACGUGCCAGCAGCCGCGGUAAUACGUAGGGCGCGAGCGUUGUCCGGAAUUAUUGGGCGUAAAGGGCUUGUAGGUGGCUGGUUGCGUCUGUCGUGAAAGCUCAUGGCUUAACUGUGGGUUUGCGGUGGGUACGGGCUGGCUUGAGUGCAGUAGGGGAGGCUGGAAUUCCUGGUGUAGCGGUGGAAUGCGCAGAUAUCAGGAGGAAUACCGGUGGCGAAGGCGGGUCUCUGGGCUGUUACUGACACUGAGGAGCGAAAGCAUGGGGAGCGAACAGG
RNAcentral lists this ribosomal RNA (419 nucleotides) under bacterium. RNAcentral's name for it is "partial 16S ribosomal RNA". It matches the Rfam family "Bacterial small subunit ribosomal RNA", at positions 355 to 776 of the family's 1533-position model. The record is from RNAcentral.